AAACCUUACCAGGGUUUGACAUGGAGCUUAAGGCCGUAGAGAUACGGAGAUAAUAAACUCACACAGGUGGUGCAUGGUUGUCGUCAGCUCGUGUCGUGAGAUGUUGGGUUAAGUCCCGCAACGAGCGCAACCCUCGUUUCUAGUUACCAUCAUUUAGUUGGGGACUCUAGAGAGACUGCCGAUGUAAAUCGGAGGAAGGUGGGGAUGACGUCAAAUCAGCAUGCCCUUUAUAUCCUGGGCGACACACGUGCUACAAUGGCCAAUACAAAGAGAUGCAAACUCGCGAGAGCAAGCAAAACUCGGAAAGUUGGCCUCAGUUCAGACUGAAGUCUGCAAUUCGACUUCACGAAGGCGGAAUUACUAGUAAUCGCAGAUCAGCAUGCUGCGGUGAAUACGUUCCCGGGGUUUGUACACACCGCCCGUCAAACCAUGAGAGCUGGUAAUGCUUGAAGCCGCUGUUCCAACCGCAAGGAGGAAGGCGUCUAGGGCAGGAUCGGUGAUUGGGGUU
This 508-nucleotide ribosomal RNA is filed under the name uncultured bacterium. RNAcentral describes it as "bacterial SSU rRNA". It matches the Rfam family "Bacterial small subunit ribosomal RNA", at positions 966 to 1482 of the family's 1533-position model. The record is from RNAcentral.